CCUACGGGUGGCUGCAGUGGGGAAUAUUGCACAAUGGGGGGAACCCUGAUGCAGCGACGCCGCGUGAGUGAAGAAGUAUUUCGGUAUGUAAAGCUCUAUCAGCAGGAACGAGACAAGACGGUACCUGACUAAGAAGCCCCGGCUAACUACGUGCCAGCAGCCGCGGUAAUACGUAGGGGGCAAGCGUUAUCCGGAAUCACUGGGUGUAAGGGGAGCGUAGACGGCUGAGCAAGCCUGAAGUGAAAGGCGGGGGCCCAACCCCCGUACUGCUUUGGGAACUGUACGGCUGGAGUGCAGGUGGGGUGAGUGGAAUUCGUGGGGGAGCGGUGAAAUGCGUAGAUAUUAGGAGGAACACCAGUGGCGAAGGCGGCUUACUGGACUGUAACUGACGUUGAGGCUCGAAAGCGUGGGGAGAAAACAGGAUUAGAUACCCGAGGAGUC
Molecule: ribosomal RNA, 441 nt
Filed under: uncultured bacterium
Lineage: Bacteria
Description: partial 16S ribosomal RNA
Rfam family: Bacterial small subunit ribosomal RNA
Source: RNAcentral